GCCCAGUAAAGAUCUUAACUUUCUGACAUAGAAAUGGCAUUUGUACCAGAAGUACGUAUGAUCACAGUUGUAUAGAAAAUCCGAUCCAGACUUUGUUGUUGUUGUUGAUUAGAGACAGAGUUUCUCUGUGUAGUUUCUCUGUGUAGCUCUGGCCUCAAGCUCGGAGAUCACCUGCUUCUGCCUCCCUGGCUUAGGAGUAAAGGCGUGCGCCACCACCGUGCGCCCAAUCCAGGCGUUUCAGUGCCUGUUAACAGUUGAAUUCCUCUGAGAAGUAUUUGGCCUUGUGUUGUACCUUUAGUCUUGCUAUUUUUGUUUUCUUUGGUGAUUUAUUCUAAAUUCCUACAGUGAUGAUAUCUUACAUAGAAUAUUAUUAUCAACCCAGCUAAUACUUUGUUACUCUCUUCUUUAAGCCGAGUCUGUUCUACAGCUUCAUUUGACUCGCAAGCCUUCACUUGAGCCAUAGCUACAGUUCUCUUAGAGCUCAAGAGAAGCUUACAGUCUUGACUUUGGGCCAUCCACGCCACCCAGAAAGUUCACUCGAUAGCCCCUUCCCUUCACGCUGUUUCAUACAAAAUCUAGUAGUUUUGUUUUUCUGUUUUCCAUAUGGGACAGGUUAACAUCGGGGCUGUUUAUAACAAAUGAUUUUACCAUGUAUCUAAACACUGUCCCACGCUUCAGAGCA
RNAcentral lists this long non-coding RNA (682 nucleotides) under Androctonus crassicauda. Lineage: Eukaryota; Metazoa; Arthropoda; Arachnida; Scorpiones; Buthidae. The record is from RNAcentral.